Molecule: transfer RNA, 73 nt
Filed under: Deltaproteobacteria bacterium
Lineage: Bacteria; Pseudomonadati; Myxococcota; Myxococcia
Description: tRNA-Ala
Rfam family: tRNA
About the family: Transfer RNA (tRNA) molecules are approximately 80 nucleotides in length. Their secondary structure includes four short double-helical elements and three loops (D, anti-codon, and T loops). Further hydrogen bonds mediate the characteristic L-shaped molecular structure. tRNAs have two regions of fundamental functional importance: the anti-codon, which is responsible for specific mRNA codon recognition, and the 3' end, to which the tRNAs corresponding amino acid is attached (by aminoacyl-tRNA synthetases). tRNAs cope with the degeneracy of the genetic code in two manners: having more than one tRNA (with a specific anti-codon) for a particular amino acid; and 'wobble' base-pairing, i.e. permitting non-standard base-pairing at the 3rd anti-codon position.
Source: RNAcentral
GGGGAUGUAGCUCAGUUGGGAGAGCAUCAGAAUGGCAUUCUGGGGGUCAGGGGUUCGAGCCCCCUCAUCUCCA